RNAcentral lists this ribosomal RNA (1372 nucleotides) under uncultured bacterium. RNAcentral describes it as "bacterial SSU rRNA". It matches the Rfam family "Bacterial small subunit ribosomal RNA", at positions 28 to 1381 of the family's 1533-position model. The record is from RNAcentral.
GAUGAACGCUGGCGGCGUGCCUAAUACAUGCAAGUCGAGCGAACGGACGAGAAGCUUGCUUCUCUGAUGUUAGCGGCGGACGGGUGAGUAACACGUGGAUAACCUACCUAUAAGACUGGGAUAACUUCGGGAAACCGGAGCUAAUACCGGAUAAUAUUUUGAACCGCAUGGUUCAAAAGUGAAAGACGGUCUUGCUGUCACUUAUAGAUGGAUCCGCGCUGCAUUAGCUAGUUGGUAAGGUAACGGCUUACCAAGGCAACGAUGCAUAGCCGACCUGAGAGGGUGAUCGGCCACACUGGAACUGAGACACGGUCCAGACUCCUACGGGAGGCAGCAGUAGGGAAUCUUCCGCAAUGGGCGAAAGCCUGACGGAGCAACGCCGCGUGAGUGAUGAAGGUCUUCGGAUCGUAAAACUCUGUUAUUGGGGAAGAACAUAUGUGUAAGUAACUGUGCACAUCUUGACGGUACCUAAUCAGAAAGCCACGGCUAACUACGUGCCAGCAGCCGCGGUAAUACGUAGGUGGCAAGCGUUAUCCGGAAUUAUUGGGCGUAAAGCGCGCGUAGGCGGUUUUUUAAGUCUGAUGUGAAAGCCCACGGCUCAACCGUGGAGGGUCAUUGGAAACUGGAAAACUUGAGUGCAGAAGAGGAAAGUGGAAUUCCAUGUGUAGCGGUGAAAUGCGCAGAGAUAUGGAGGAACACCAGUGGCGAAGGCGACUUUCUGGUCUGUAACUGACGCUGAUGUGCGAAAGCGUGGGGAUCAAACAGGAUUAGAUACCCUGGUAGUCCACGCCGUAAACGAUGAGUGCUAAGUGUUAGGGGGUUUCCGCCCCUUAGUGCUGCAGCUAACGCAUUAAGCACUCCGCCUGGGGAGUACGACCGCAAGGUUGAAACUCAAAGGAAUUGACGGGGACCCGCACAAGCGGUGGAGCAUGUGGUUUAAUUCGAAGCAACGCGAAGAACCUUACCAAAUCUUGACAUCCUUUGACAACUCUAGAGAUAGAGCCUUCCCCUUCGGGGGACAAAGUGACAGGUGGUGCAUGGUUGUCGUCAGCUCGUGUCGUGAGAUGUUGGGUUAAGUCCCGCAACGAGCGCAACCCUUAAGCUUAGUUGCCAUCAUUAAGUUGGGCACUCUAAGUUGACUGCCGGUGACAAACCGGAGGAAGGUGGGGAUGACGUCAAAUCAUCAUGCCCCUUAUGAUUUGGGCUACACACGUGCUACAAUGGACAAUACAAAGGGCAGCGAAACCGCGAGGUCAAGCAAAUCCCAUAAAGUUGUUCUCAGUUCGGAUUGUAGUCUGCAACUCGACUACAUGAAGCUGGAAUCGCUAGUAAUCGUAGAUCAGCAUGCUACGGUGAAUACGUUCCCGGGUCU